This is a long non-coding RNA of Vicia villosa (hairy vetch), 1377 nucleotides long. RefSeq lists it as uncharacterized. The transcript has 2 exons. The record is from RefSeq and is a predicted model, not a curated record. NCBI's taxonomy places the organism in Eukaryota, Viridiplantae, Streptophyta, Magnoliopsida, Fabales, Fabaceae.
UUAUAUUCUUAUUAUACAAAUUAAUCAGAUUAAUAACGUUAAUUAAUAAAAAGAAGGAAAAGGGAAUUAGGGUAAAAUGUAAUGUGACCUUCAGACUCCCUUCACUCGGAUUUCUUCUCCCUCGCGGCGGUGGCUGAAGCUUCACCGAUUCAAACUUCCCCUUCUCCGAUUCAAAGUCCGGCCACCACACACUCGACAGAUCUCUCCCACUCUCUUCUCAACGCGGCGUCGCUAUCUCCGCCUUCUCCUUCGUGACAAAGCGGCGGCGAACCUCUUCUCCGGUGAACUUUCACUCAGUCUCUUGCGUGUUGGCGUGAACGCAUCGCGGUGAUGAUGAAGACUCUACGGUGCUUGAAUGUGAUGCAGAAGCGAUUCAGAUGAUGAAUCGGUGAUGGCGAUGUUGUUGGAGAUUGUUGUUAACAUUGAAGAACAGAUGAACAAUUCGUUUUCUUCUUGCAGGUGAAUUCUCUUUUUCUGUUAUCGUUCUCCUUUUUUUUUGUUUCGAUUUCUUCCGAUUCUUUCUUCUGUCUGUUGUUCUGUGGAUUGAAGGAUGAAGAAUGAGAUUGUGAAGGUCGUGGUGAUUGAAGAUGAGGAGUUUGUUGUUGUUCACAGUGGUGAAGAUGAUGAAGAUUGAAGAGUGGAAGAAGAGUGGUGGUGACGGUGAAGGUGAACUUCAAAGAGGAAUCCGAGAGGGGGAAGGUUUGGAGAUUGGAGAAUGGUGGAGAAGGGGAGUGUUGGUGAAUGAUGAAGAUGGAAGUUGAUUGUGGAGAGUUGCAGAGUGCAGAAAUGGUGGCAGAGUGAUUGUUGAAGAUGGGGAUGAAGUGAAGGGUUGAAGAUUGUGGAAUGGUAGAGAGCAAUUGUUGAAGAAUCUGAAACUGAUAAAGAAAAGAAUGGUGGGGGCCCCUGAGUGAAGGUGGAGAAGAGAAUAUAUAUGUGGAGAAAAUCGAUUUUUGAAGGUUUGGAAUGAGACUGAAACACGGCUUGGCAGCAUAGCAUACUGAGGCAAGACAAUCAUGAUGGCAGGAUGAUUUAGCAGCAUUUAUAUUGAGUAGGGCGCGGUGACGGCAUCAAGUUUUUUUCAGCAAGCCUCCGGACAGAUUUUAGAGCAAGCUUUUGACCAUUGUUUUGUUCUUUCUUCAUCCUUUUUUAUGUCCUAUAUCAUGAGGCAAGGCUAUAGUAUAGAAUUGGGAAAUGAAUGUAAAUAGGUUUGACAAUCAAGACAGUUGUAAUUAGAGAUUGAAUUGUAACUCUCUCUUUUUUUUGAAAUUUAGUUGAACACAUGACUUGGUAGAGCAUAAAAGAGCAAUGUAUUUUUGACGAGUUUGAAUGAUGCUUGAACAAGUUAUAAUGAAAAGACAUUGAGCAAUGAACUUGGCA